GUUGGCAAAUAGUCUGAUCAAUUAACUAAAAGUGUCAGUUUAUAUCUUUAUAGAUCAAAUUGUAAGUAAAUAUCUUCUUUUAUUUGAUUGGUAAUAUAUGAUUAUAAAACGCUUUAAAUAUUACAAAUAUAUAAAGAAAAUCAAAAAUGAUCUUCUUACAUUUUGUGUAAAAAGAUUUGUAUGUACAGCUGUUAAAAAUAUUAACAAUCUUUUUCAAAGACGUUUGAGAAAAUUCCUUGAAAUUUCACUUUGUGUUAUGCUUAAUAUUAUUGAGACAGUAUUGUUUUCAUGGUUGAUUCGGAUCAAGUCUAUUUUGAAAUUUGAAAUCUAUAUGACAUAAAUUCGAAAGACUCUUUUUACAUUUCGGUCAAUUACACAUUUUUUUUUUAUCAAAAAAUUGAAAUUAACUCCUGAAUGGCGUUGUUCUUCUUGUCUUUUGAAUUGCGUUGAAACUUUCUGUCAUAGAAAACUGAAAUUGCCUCCUGAUUAGCCAUUUGAAACAAUUGUUCUGCUUAUACUUUGAAUUGUCGGUGAAAUUUUCUGUCAUAGAUGCGCAUCGUUUAUAUUUUUUUAACCACACAGUGGUUGUAAUUACGCAAUGGAAAAUGUGUCUUUAAAAAUGUUAAACUUUACCGUGCAUUGUUUUGAUUUGUAAAUGUUAUAAUCGACUAGAAACUGAAAGAAAAUUAUGACUUCCAAAUAUAUUUGCAACUUUUGUUUAGCUAUUCUAAAAUAGAUGUCGUAUUAAAACAUGUAAAAAUAUACAAUGUUUUUUUUGGUGACAGGUUCUUGUAAUGUCGCGUUUUUACAAUGAAUUCCAAUUUUUAAGUAAGCAUGUUGAAAUAUCAAAGAAUUCAUCUUACUUUGUAGCAAAAAUAAGACCAAUGAAAUUGUAAAAUUGAGAAUGGAAAUGGGGAAUUAUCUUUUGAUUAUCCCCACUAUGGAGUUCCUUAUAGCAAAGCAAGGUCGUUAAACACUUCAGUAGUAGAAGUAUUGAUUAUUUUUUUUUACUGUGGGAGAACAAUAUUUGAUGACAGUUGUUAUCUUGUAGUUCGUUUCUGUGCGUGUUGCAUUGUCGUUUGUUUUUUGUUCACUUCAGUGUUUUGUUGUUUCGUUGUUUUCCUCUUAUAAUUGAUGUGUUUCUCUCGGUUGUAGUUUGUAACCCAGAUUUGUUUUUGUAUCAAUCGAUUUAUGACUUUUGAACACCGGUAUAUUUAUGUUGCCUUUAUUUAUCAUAAACGUUAGUUCCGACUAUCAUUGAAGCUCCUAACAACCGUUUACGCAUGAGUAGUAAACUUUUUCUCUACAGUUAAUGCCAUGAUUAUACGUUUGUACAUGUAAAUUGUUUCCUUGUUUUUUGUUUUUAUACUGUUGAAAUGUACUUCAUAACUUCCCAAAGUAUCUAAUAUUAAUUGACAGAAUUCAAAAAUUCAAAUCAUUGUUAUAUUCAUCUAACACGAAUUGACUGGGUUUUAAAAUUCUCAUCACCAGCAUAAGAGUCAGACAUGAAUUUAUUAAAGUUAUCUUCACAUGUAUAAAUAUCUGACAUUCAUUGAAUAAAGAAAUGCACAAGUGUGUAUGAGUGGGAAGACAGGAACAUUUUUCCUAAUUCAACUUUUGACUAACAAUGGAGAUAGCGUCACAGCUGAUGUAAAUCAAAAUUCUCGUGAUGUUCUUCCCUAUGUACUUGAACAAUAGUGUUUAUUUAUUUUCACAUAUUAUUUUUCAUUUAUUAUAUUUCAGAAAUUUGAUCGUAUUUUUUUCAGCUUCGUAUAUAAUUUUUUGGGACUGUUGUUUCUAUUUCCGUGUACACUAAGUGGGAUGCACUUUGUUUCUGUUGCCUGCAUGGUUAUUUUUAUCCUGUCUACAGGCAGAUUUUAUGUUCAUGUUUGUGUUAUGCAGUAUGUAUGUCGACCUCUUAUUUCGGUUGAGUUUAUUUAUCAACGAUGUGAAUAAAGUUAACAGGAACAAUACUAGAUCUCCUCUUACAAUAUAAAUUUCAAAAUGACAUAUAUUUUUAUUGUUUCCUCUUUACUGAUAAUCACCUAAUAUAUAAAUUAAUAUUGAAUGUAAAGAUCACUCUAGUUGUCACUUGAUUAACGAAUAGUUCUUGAUGAGAAACAAAUCAGAUUUCUAAAAAUAUAAUAAAUUAAAACCAACAGAUGAAAAAACUAAUCAAACUAUUGUUCAAGUACAUAGGGAAUAAAAUCUAGAUUUUUUUUACAUCAAGUGUUACACUUUAUUCUUAAUCAAACGCGAAUUCCUGUCUUCCCACUAAUACACACUUUAUUCGAGUGUUUCUUUAUUCAAUUACUAACAGAUACUUAUACUAGUGUAGACAAAUGUGCACUUAAAUAAAUUCAUGUCUGACUCAUAUAUAAGUGAGAGGGUUAGCGCUAUAGAACCAGGUUUAAUCCACCAUUUUCUACAUUUGAAAAUGCCUGUACCAAGUCAGGAAUAUGACAGUUCUUGUCCAUUCGUUUUUGAUGCGUUUUGUUAUUUGAUUUUGCCAUGUGAUUAUGGACUUUCCCAAUUGAUCUUCCUCUAAGUUCAGUAUUUUUGUGAUUUUACUUUAUACCAGUGUAGAUAAAUUUUUAGUUUAAAAAAUUCAUGUCGGAUUCUUGUACUGGUGAAGAGAAUGUUUGUCAUCAGUCAAUUUUUGUUAUAUACCUAAACUAACUAAAACUGAAAUGACAGUCAGAACUAAUGUUUUUGAAAGGAUAAAAUUGUUCUCUCACAGCCAAAAAUCAUUCGAUACUACUAUUACUGAAUUGUUUUACGCCAUUGAUUGGCUAUAAGGAACUCGCAUAGUCGGGAUAAUCAUAAGAUAUGUUCAAUUCCAUUGGUCUUAUUAUUGCUACGAAAUAUGGUGGCAUCGUUUGAUACAACUACUACGGAAGUGUUAAACGCUAGCUAAACGACUUUGACACUUGUUUGACAAUUUAGAUGAAAAACAAAUGUUUGAAAUUUGUUCUACAAUAGUUUUGUUAAACGCCUCGAAUUGCAUGAUUAAAGGAAUCAUACAUGUCUUGUUAUGGUCAAUGUUGUCAUUUGGUCAAUGUUUUCAUUUGGUCGAUGUUUCAUGAACGUGAAACAAAAACUCUAUUUGAUUGUUACUUACUUCUGGAUCAAUAUAUUUGAGGUGUAUACUUUUAUUUGAUUAGGAACGUUCCAUUUUGAAUUUUUCUCGGAGUUCAUAUUUUUGUGAUUUUACUUUUCACUUAUCAUACAUUUGAAGGAAGUUCUAUUUUAUUCUAUUUAAUAAAAAGAAAAUACAGUGUUUGGACUUUGCAGCUAGGAAGAAUAACACUAACUUAUUGUGAGCUGAACGAAAACCUGUUUUGUCUUUUAUUUGUACAUACGUUACAAGGAUCUAUUUCUUUUUUAAAAUCAAGUAAUUUAUUCUGAGAAGACAAAUAAAAAGGUACAUAUCUGGUUUUAAUAAAUUAGAGGCAAUUGACUAAACAUAAGAUUGAAUUACUUAAAAAAAAAGCAUAUACACAUUAAAUUGAUGUCAUACAUGUAUUAGACAAAUGAACAGCUACGACCUUUAAACAUCAAUUCAAACAUGUUUCAUAGUUUUUCCGACAUCAAAAUUCCUAAAAGAGUUAUUUUUUUAAAGUAAUAUGUAUUUUACUUGAUAUUUUGUUAUAUAUACGUCAUAAUUAAUAUGACCGUAUCGAUGGUCUCGUGUAAGAGUUAUACCAAGUGUGUUAUCCAUUCAAACUCGUUAGUUCUGGCUGUCAUUAACGCGCGUCUGGCGUAAAUUCAAAAUUUGAUCCUGAUAUCUAUGAUGAGUUUAUUUUCAGCUCCUGAUAGCUGUUUUAGCAUGAGGAGUAAACUUGCAUUAUGCCAUACUUAAACAUGUGUACACGUUAUUUGUUUCUUUGUGUUAAGACUGGUGUGAUGCAUUUGAAUACUUCCAUCUUAUAUUAAUUGACUGAACUGAAAAAUUCUAAUUACUGGUUUAUAUAUCUUGCAUGAAUUGACUGAAGUUAAAAAUUCUCAUCACCAGUAUAUUAAAGUCAGACAUAAAUUUAUUUAAAUGUAAAUUUAUCUAAACUGGUAAAAAUAUCUGAUAUUCUUUUUUAUAAAGAAACUAACAAAUAUAAUAUGUAUAAGUGUAAGACAGGAAAAUCUCCCCCAUAAGUUCGACAUUUGAUUAACAAUGAAGAUAUGUUGAUGUAAAAUUAUCUUGAAUUUCUUCCCUGUGUACUUGAACAAUAGUUUUAUCAGUUAUUUUCAUCUAUUUUUGUUCAUUUAUUUUAUUUUAGGCUUCUGAUCGCAUAUUUUUCAGCUUGAUAUAUAAGUUGGAAACUGUGUUUUUCUAUUUCCGUGAUUUGCACUUUGUAUCUGAUACCUGCAUGGAUAUUUUCAUCAUGCAAUUCGAGUUGUUUAACAAAACUAAUGUAGAACUAGUUUUAAAUAGUUGUUUCUCAUUUAAAAUUGAUUGUCAAUCAAGUAAGAACCAGGGUGCUCUUUACAUUAUAUUUUAAUUGAUGAAUUAGGUGAAUGUCAGUAAAGGGGAAACCAUAAAAAAUAAAUUAUUUUGCGAAGUUUACAUUUAGAUUCAGAAAAAAAUCCUCCUGUAGUUAACUAAAGGUAGUAAAUAAAUAUAUCUCAAUAGCAUCAUACAUGUUUCAAUCAAUGUUUAAACGAAUUGAAAAAAAGUAGAAAAAACAAAAAUACCGAAAUCCAAGCAAAAUUAAAAACGGAAAGUUCCAUUACAAUUGGCAAAAUCAAAAUCUCAAACACAUCAAAUGAAUGGGAAACAACUGUCAUAUUCCUGACUUGGAACACUAGAUCCACAAAAUAACUCAUCCUUAAAAUGAAAAUAACAUUUUAUAAAUAUUGUGCGAUCGAAAAGGUUUCUGGACUGACCUUUUCCAAGAUUGCUGUCACUCAAAAAUAUGAAAGCCAAGGAUGUAUAACUACUCUGAUACUUCAUUACCUAUCUGACAAAACAGAAGUCUAUAUAAAUAGCCAAAACCUACUUCUUAUGAAUCAUUUUAAUCAUAAAGUAAUUAUUUUUUCUGGAUCUUAAUUUUAAUUUUUUUGAAUUUGUUUUUGAUAAUUAAGUUGAUCAUCAUCACCUGACCCAACGACGAACCAUGGUUUGAUUACUGUGUCGCAGUUAUAAAUCUUCCAAUCUGUUGUUAGAUUAUCAAUUGAAAUGGAAAUGAUUGUUGAUGUAUGUUAUAUGAACAAAUUAAGGGAAAGAAAACUUUAUAAAUUUUGUAUAGGAACUCCACCCCUCCCUUCCCCGAAAAAAAAAGUUUAACCCACAAAUUUAACUUAGAGGUCAGUUUUUUAUAUACUCUUUUGUUAAGUAAAUCUGCAUUUUACACGUCCUUAUGUCUGCAUACUAAUGAUAUAAUAGAAGAAACUUAAUAUAAAGUAUACAGGGGCGGAUCCAGCCAUUUUAAAAGGGGGGGGUUCCCAACCCAGGACAAAGGGGGGGGCGGUCGAACUAGAUGUCCCCAUUCAAAUGCAUUGAUCGUCAAAAAAAAGGGGGGUCUAACCCCCGGAACCCUCCCCCUGGAUCCGCCACUGGUAUACAAGGCAUCAUAUUCUUAAGUCAUUAUGCCUGCAUGCAAACAGGUUUAUGCUGAGCGCCAAUUUUGCGCAAUAAUUCCAACUUGUGCAACAAACAAACUUAUGUAUAAACUUACUGCUUAUCAAGUGAGUAACAAUUAGCAACGACAAGCAAAAUUGAAAGGUUUUCUUCAAAAUGUAAACUAUUUUCUUUUUGUUGAUAAGAUUCGAAAAUACGAUAUAAUUCGAUGUUAUUUAGAACGUUUUCUUUUAUAAAGACAGAAAAUAUGAUUUUGUGGACAACAUAAUAAUGGAAUGAAUAUAUGAUGGAUGAUUGAAUUAUUCUCUAAGUGACUUUUUUUUAUAAUAAAGCAAAAUAAUUAUUUUUUUCAGUUUCCGUUGAUUAUUUAACUAAUCUUGAAUGCAAAGAUCAUAUUUAGUAUGUUUGACAAUAUUCACUUACAUAAGAAGUACUUUACACAGUUAUGGAUAUUUUUCAGGUGUAUUAUGGAGAAAAUCUACAGUAUACUUUUCAUAAUUGCAUGCACUGUCACCGUAAAUGGAUGCCCUACAUUAUGCAGAUGCUCGGGCACGAAUGUUUAUUGCAACAACAAAUCUCUUACGAAAGUUCCGAGAUAUAAUAUACCGAGAUCAACAAGAGCAUU
RNAcentral lists this long non-coding RNA (6200 nucleotides) under Mytilus galloprovincialis (Mediterranean mussel). Lineage: Eukaryota; Metazoa; Mollusca; Bivalvia; Mytilida; Mytilidae. The record is from RNAcentral.